Small nucleolar RNA from Rattus norvegicus (Norway rat), 126 nucleotides. Ensembl annotates it as small nucleolar RNA SNORA17. The record is from Ensembl. NCBI's taxonomy places the organism in Eukaryota, Metazoa, Chordata, Mammalia, Rodentia, Muridae.
CUUGUCAUUAGAGGCCUUCAAGUAUAGCUUCUCUGUCACAUGUGCUUGAGUAGGUGACAGAGGAAAGAGGCUAUGUUUAUAGGUAUACUGAUCAAUGAACAUCUGAAUAAUUAGUAACCUAACAAA